UACAGAGGGUGCGAGCGUUAAUCGGAUUUACUGGGCGUAAAGCGUGUGUAGGUGGCUUCCUAAGUCGGUUGUGAAAUCCCUGGGCUCAACCUGGGAAUUGCAGUCGAUACUGGGAAGCUCGAGUUCGGUAGAGGACGGCGGAAUUCCCGGUGUAGCGGUGAAAUGCGUAGAUAUCGGGAGGAACAUCGAUGGCGAAGGCGGCCAGCUGGACCAGCCCUGACGCUGAGGCGCGACAGCGUGGGGAGCAAACAGG
RNAcentral lists this ribosomal RNA (253 nucleotides) under uncultured bacterium. Its description in RNAcentral is "partial 16S ribosomal RNA". It matches the Rfam family "Bacterial small subunit ribosomal RNA", at positions 524 to 776 of the family's 1533-position model. The record is from RNAcentral.